AUGUUGACGUUUGGGUCUUACGCAACAGGAAUUUGUGAACCGUGUCAGGUCAGGAAUGAAGCAGCACUAAGCAAAAGCUCCUGUGUGCCGUAAGGCAACCUGGACUGAGUUAACUGUAAAGGUAACGCUUAUGGUGAGCAUUCGAAGCAGAAUGCACGG
This 159-nucleotide signal recognition particle RNA is filed under the name Clostridiales bacterium. Its description in RNAcentral is "partial signal recognition particle sRNA large type". It matches the Rfam family "Bacterial large signal recognition particle RNA", at positions 104 to 256 of the family's 256-position model. Rfam says of the family: The signal recognition particle (SRP) is a universally conserved ribonucleoprotein involved in the co-translational targeting of proteins to membranes. Lineage: Bacteria; Bacillati; Bacillota; Clostridia; Eubacteriales. The record is from RNAcentral.